AGGUACUAUCCAGUAUUAUCAGGUACUAUCUAGGUGCUAUCCAGGUAUUAUCAUGUACUAUCCAGUUGCUAUCCAGGUAUUAUCAGGCACUA
Long non-coding RNA from Melanotaenia boesemani (Boeseman's rainbowfish), 92 nucleotides. RefSeq lists it as uncharacterized. The record is from RefSeq and is a predicted model, not a curated record. Lineage: Eukaryota; Metazoa; Chordata; Actinopteri; Atheriniformes; Melanotaeniidae. The transcript is spliced from 4 exons.